This 2903-nucleotide ribosomal RNA is filed under the name Yersinia frederiksenii Y225. Its description in RNAcentral is "bacterial LSU rRNA". It matches the Rfam family "Bacterial large subunit ribosomal RNA". The record is from RNAcentral. Lineage: Bacteria; Pseudomonadati; Pseudomonadota; Gammaproteobacteria; Enterobacterales; Yersiniaceae.
UAAGCGACUAAGCGUACACGGUGGAUGCCUAGGCAGUCAGAGGCGAUGAAGGGCGUGCUAAUCUGCGAAAAGCGUCGGUAAGGUGAUAUGAACCGUUAUAACCGACGAUACCCGAAUGGGGAAACCCAGUGCAAUUCGUUGCACUAUUGCAUGGUGAAUACAUAGCCAUGCAAGGCGAACCGGGGGAACUGAAACAUCUAAGUACCCCGAGGAAAAGAAAUCAACCGAGAUUCCCCUAGUAGCGGCGAGCGAACGGGGAGGAGCCCAGAGUCUGAAUCAGUUUGUGUGUUAGUGGAAGCGUCUGGAAAGUCGCAGGGUACAGGGUGAUACUCCCGUACACAAAAACACACUUGCUGUGAACUCGAUGAGUAGGGCGGGACACGUGACAUCCUGUCUGAAUAUGGGGGGACCAUCCUCCAAGGCUAAAUACUCCUGACUGACCGAUAGUGAACCAGUACCGUGAGGGAAAGGCGAAAAGAACCCCGGCGAGGGGAGUGAAAUAGAACCUGAAACCGUGUACGUACAAGCAGUGGGAGCACCUUCGUGGUGUGACUGCGUACCUUUUGUAUAAUGGGUCAGCGACUUAUAUUUUGUAGCAAGGUUAACCGAAUAGGGGAGCCGUAGGGAAACCGAGUCUUAACUGGGCGUCUAGUUGCAAGGUAUAGACCCGAAACCCGGUGAUCUAGCCAUGGGCAGGUUGAAGGUUGGGUAACACUAACUGGAGGACCGAACCGACUAAUGUUGAAAAAUUAGCGGAUGACUUGUGGCUGGGGGUGAAAGGCCAAUCAAACCGGGAGAUAGCUGGUUCUCCCCGAAAGCUAUUUAGGUAGCGCCUCGUGAACUCAUCUUCGGGGGUAGAGCACUGUUUCGGCUAGGGGGCCAUCCCGGCUUACCAAACCGAUGCAAACUCCGAAUACCGAAGAAUGUUAUCACGGGAGACACACGGCGGGUGCUAACGUCCGUCGUGAAGAGGGAAACAACCCAGACCGCCAGCUAAGGUCCCAAAGUCAUGGUUAAGUGGGAAACGAUGUGGGAAGGCAUAGACAGCCAGGAUGUUGGCUUAGAAGCAGCCAUCAUUUAAAGAAAGCGUAAUAGCUCACUGGUCGAGUCGGCCUGCGCGGAAGAUGUAACGGGGCUAAACCAUGCACCGAAGCUGCGGCAGCGACACUUAGGUGUUGUUGGGUAGGGGAGCGUUCUGUAAGCCGUUGAAGGUGACCUGUGAGGGUUGCUGGAGGUAUCAGAAGUGCGAAUGCUGACAUAAGUAACGAUAAUGCGGGUGAAAAACCCGCACGCCGGAAGACCAAGGGUUCCUGUCCAACGUUAAUCGGGGCAGGGUGAGUCGACCCCUAAGGCGAGGCUGAAAAGCGUAGUCGAUGGGAAACAGGUUAAUAUUCCUGUACUUGGUGUUACUGCGAAGGGGGGACGGAGAAGGCUAGGCUAGCCGGGCGACGGUUGUCCCGGUUUAAGCAUGUAGGCGGAGCGACUUGGUAAAUCCGGUUGCUUAUCAACGCUGAGGUGUGAUGACGAGUCACUACGGUGAUGAAGUAGUUGAUGCCAAGCUUCCAGGAAAAGCCUCUAAGCAUCAGGUAACAUUAAAUCGUACCCCAAACCGACACAGGUGGUCAGGUAGAGAAUACUCAGGCGCUUGAGAGAACUCGGGUGAAGGAACUAGGCAAAAUGGUGCCGUAACUUCGGGAGAAGGCACGCUGGCAUUAGGUAAUGGGACUUGCUCCCGGCGCCGAAGCCAGUCGCAGAUACCAGCUGGCUGCAACUGUUUAAUAAAAACACAGCACUGUGCAAACACGAAAGUGGACGUAUACGGUGUGACGCCUGCCCGGUGCUGGAAGGUUAAUUGAUGGGGUCAGCCGCAAGGCGAAGCUCUUGAUCGAAGCCCCAGUAAACGGCGGCCGUAACUAUAACGGUCCUAAGGUAGCGAAAUUCCUUGUCGGGUAAGUUCCGACCUGCACGAAUGGCGUAAUGAUGGCCAGGCUGUCUCCACCCGAGACUCAGUGAAAUUGAACUCGCUGUGAAGAUGCAGUGUACCCGCGGCAAGACGGAAAGACCCCGUGAACCUUUACUAUAGCUUGACACUGAACAUUGAGCCUUGAUGUGUAGGAUAGGUGGGAGGCAUUGAAGUGUGGACGCCAGUCUGCAUGGAGCCAACCUUGAAAUACCACCCUUUAAUGUUUGAUGUUCUAACUCGGCCCCGUAAUCCGGGGUGAGGACAGUGUCUGGUGGGUAGUUUGACUGGGGCGGUCUCCUCCCAAAGAGUAACGGAGGAGCACGAAGGUUAGCUAAUCACGGUCGGACAUCGUGAGGUUAGUGCAAAGGCAUAAGCUAGCUUGACUGCGAGAGUGACGGCUCGAGCAGGUACGAAAGUAGGUCUUAGUGAUCCGGUGGUUCUGAAUGGAAGGGCCAUCGCUCAACGGAUAAAAGGUACUCCGGGGAUAACAGGCUGAUACCGCCCAAGAGUUCAUAUCGACGGCGGUGUUUGGCACCUCGAUGUCGGCUCAUCACAUCCUGGGGCUGAAGUAGGUCCCAAGGGUAUGGCUGUUCGCCAUUUAAAGUGGUACGCGAGCUGGGUUUAGAACGUCGUGAGACAGUUCGGUCCCUAUCUGCCGUGGGCGUUGGAAGAUUGAGAGGGGCUGCUCCUAGUACGAGAGGACCGGAGUGGACGAAUCACUGGUGUUCGGGUUGUCAUGCCAAUGGCACUGCCCGGUAGCUAAAUUCGGAAGAGAUAACCGCUGAAAGCAUCUAAGCGGGAAACUUGCCUCGAGAUGAGUCUUCCCUGGGGCUUUAAGCCCCCUGAAGGAACGUUAAAGACUAUGACGUUGAUAGGCUGGGUGUGUAAGUGCAGCGAUGCAUUGAGCUAACCAGUACUAAUGAUCCGUGAGGCUUAACCU